CUUUCGGAAGAUAUAGCACGCAUGUUGAUAGCCAUCAAUUACUUGUGAUGUGUUUGCAUUGUUUGUUGUUUAGUAUGCUAUAUGUAAAUAUUUAUAUUGACCUCUUGAGUGUAUAGCCGUCUGUUUCAGGUCUCUGGCUCAGCUGAUGUUCCGGAUACGAAAAUUCCGCACGUUCGCGAAGACUGAAUAAUUUACAAUUCCGUAGUGAAGAUUCUGAUGCUGCUUGGAAGAUAUUUACCCUAUUAUUUUGAUACUUCCGAGUUAGAAUUUCGUGUCUGAGGAGCAAGUGCAUGGUAUGAAAUGAGCAAAUCAAGAACUAUGCACACUUCCCCAUUUCUUACCCAACAAGUGCUCCUUUUUUAUAUCUGGCUUUAAUAGCUCUACCAAUAUGGCAGUCUUUACGGAAGGUUUUACAGACGCCUGAAUAUGUGAAUGAACCUCUACCUGUGGUCAUUCACCAGUGAGCAUUCAAUAUGAAGUAUGCUAACGCCACCAUGUGACGUUACAAGUGAGUGUGCUUACCUCACAAAUAUCUUUCUAUUAAUAUUUUGUUAUGUUUGUAAAAAUAAUUUUUGUAACUGGUUAUAAACAUUUUUA
Schistocerca nitens (vagrant locust) is the source of this 597-nucleotide long non-coding RNA. RefSeq lists it as uncharacterized. The record is from RefSeq and is a predicted model, not a curated record. The transcript is spliced from 3 exons. NCBI's taxonomy places the organism in Eukaryota, Metazoa, Arthropoda, Insecta, Orthoptera, Acrididae.